Non-coding RNA from Macaca mulatta (Rhesus monkey), 3855 nucleotides. The record is from RefSeq and is a predicted model, not a curated record. NCBI's taxonomy places the organism in Eukaryota, Metazoa, Chordata, Mammalia, Primates, Cercopithecidae.
UCAGAUAUGAUGAAUCCUACUAUUUAAAGGUAAUACAUUUUCAGAUAUGCUUCUCUAGCUGUAAAUGAUGUCUCCACUAAGACCAUAAGGGUGAGGAUUUUUUUGGUGGAAGAAAUAAAAGAAGAUGUCAAGAUGGACUUAUAAACACUAAAGAAAUCACCUGGAGAAAAGUGGGCUAAAUUUUAAAUGAUCCAAAUAGCUGCGAUAAAUGAAAUAGCUACGGUUCAAAGAUGAAGGUUGUCAAGAAAAGGUGUUCAGAACAAUUACGUGAUCUAUGAAAUCAUCAUUUUGGUGUCUGGGAGUGAUGGAUAUGUCCCAUUAAAUUUUCAAAUGUAUACCUUUCUAAGUACAAUUUGUAUGGCCCUCUCCAUUUUCAGAUCUAUCCUUUCAAAUGUAGUUAUCAGAACCCUGGGAGUCGGCCAAACACCAGACUGGCUGAAAACAAUAAUCUAGACAAAGCGUCAGGCAUUGGAGAACAGUUGAAGUGUAAGAAAAAUUGUCCCACCAAAGUGGAUUUGACAGAAUGGAGAGAUGGCUUAGCUCCUCAAGGCCUCGGCACCUGCCUGGAGAUUGGUUUUGGAGGGGAAGAUGCAUUCUUGCAACAAGAUGUCAUUUCUGGCCAUUUUUAAGCUCUGAUUGGAAAUAAGUCAGCAUUAGCAGUGUUGUUAAAAUCUCCAUCACGAAGAUCCAUGUGGGUGCCUGGAGUCUAGCAAUAGAAAAGAGUGAAUGUAUUCCUUCAUAUUAAAAGACACUAAAAAGUAAUGGCAAAUGAAAUGUGGUCAUGUUGAGCAGCUGCUCAGAACCUCAGUAAAGUAUGGGUCUCGAUUACAAAGAGAGAUCGAUGGAUCCCAGUUGAUGGGGAGCAGAAACACAGAUGCUCUGCCUCAGAACCCAGCCACCAUGCUGUGAUAAAUUCAAGCCACAUGGAAAGACUGCAUGUGGGAGGCAUGACUCAAAUUAGAUUUGAACUUUCAUUUAUAUCCAUUGUGUCACUGGAAAAAUUAGAAAUAAAUUAAGUUCUACUAAAAUCUAAUAUCCUAAUUGUCUACGGCACCAUCAUUCAACUGCAUGUCAGACUCAACAUGUGAAACCUUCUCUUUGAGUACUGUGAAACAUAUUCUAAAUUAAGUGGUCGAGUCAAACUGGUUUAUAUAUGUAUUGUAUUAUUUAGUUUCGACUUAUCAAUUAGCCCUCUCAAAAUGGACAAGGGGCAUAAAGAGAUUUCUGCAAAGAAACCAUAGACUGACUAAAAAAUAGUAACAAGGCAAGCACACAGACACAAGAAACUGUCAGAGCUGACAUAUCUCACAGGGUAAGUUUCUAGCUAGCCACAGUAUCAGAGUAAAAACUGUGAUGAUUUGAUCUCAUCAGAACUAACUCAAUGAUUUAGAAAUUACCCAGGAGACUAUUGGAAGUGCAGAUUUACACCCAAUAUAUUAGUGACCCUUAUCCAAAGAGUUAUUGUGCUUGUUACAUUAAUUAAUGAUGAUAGUACAUAUGUACAUAUUUGUAACUAAUAAAUAAAAUUAGAAGGUUGAAAAAUAUGAAAUUGCCAAUGUUCAAGUAUUUUUGACCCAUGUCAGUUUCAUAUGGUUCAACCUAAUUUGUUGAAGUUAAAUGCUCAAAAAUUAUUUACUUUGGAGUGAGUACAGUAAAAAUGUCCAUGCAGACUGUUGGUUUAAGGAAUAAGACACUUGAUAACCAUGAAUUUAGUGAGUGCUUAGGAAACUGUUUACCUUUGCUCCCCAGCUGUGUAUAUAUGUGAACACAGACACAUGACAUGUUACAAAAUUAUUGCUUUCCUUGUCUGGUGAUAAUUUUAUUAUAACCAUGUACUCUUUCCAAUUGGGGUGGCUCCUAGCACCCAGAUAGAUUAUGAAACACUGACUUGAAUGACAAUAAUUAUUCUUUGCCUGACUCCAUCCUGCAGUGAUGUAUCUAGAAAAUCAACAUUCCUUAGUAAAAAACAAGGCUUUAAAAAGAAUGAUUUUUAUGGGAGCUGGUGGUUAUAGAGAAUUUUAGUGCCAAUAAAAAGAAGAUGAGGAUUACUUGUUCCUUUGAGGCCGUGAGGUAAUUAAAAAACAAUAUUUAGUGGGUUUUAGAACACCUAUUUCCAUGAAAUCUCAGCACUAAACAAUUCAGGGAAAUCAGAAUCGAUAAAUCACCUAAACAGAUCAGAAAAAAAUGGAUAAAGCAACCAUAAUUCUAUGCUACCUCCACCCCCUCCAGAUCCAUUAAAUUAUUUCAACUUCUUGGCAUAAAAUCCCAUAACAUAAUACUCCAAAGCAUGUGUCUUGCUUUGGUGCUUGUCAAAAUUAGUGUCUGAAAGACUGUACAGAGAACGGUUUUCCAUUCAAGGGACAGUUGCCUAUUGAAGCCCCUCUCCCAAAUGACUGAGAAAUGUACUCUCAUUCUGCACAUGCAAUAUCAACUCUCUCUUAUCAGCUAAGAUUGUUCUGUUUCACGGCACCAUAUCUAAAAUAGAUUUAUGCCUUAAAGUAAAAAGAGAUCCUGAGCUUAUUUGUUUAUUUGUUCUUUCAGUCAUUGAUUCAUUCAACAAGUAUUCAAGUGACUACCACAAGCCACGCAGUGCUGAAGACACAAAAGAGUACAGCAAUUUGCAACCUGGGGCUAAGGGGCUACCAAAAAGUUAGAAUUCCAAACACCAGGUGAAUGUGGUUCCCUAAGAUAACAUAAAAAUGUGAGAAGAAUAAAACAGGUUGUUGAAAACUAAUGUAUUCUAGCACUUUUGUUUUUCUCAAUAAUUUACACAUAAACACUGGCUCCUUCAGGAGCUAUCCCCAAGUUAAAGGCAUGUGACAGAAGACCCAGAAAGAGCAAGAGGCAGAAAGGGUAGGCCUAGUGAAAGGGAGAGGGUAGCAGCAAUUUCCAAACUCCCUGGGAUUCAAUGUCCCCAACAAAGUGGAGAGUGGACAUGAAUCUGUCAAAAGAAUGUGAGAACAACCUGUAAGAGCCUCCUACAAGCCAAAGAUGGGACAAUUUGAGCAUCAACAGGGAUGAUGUAAGUGCAAUAGAUUGAAAUACUUCAAUAAAUUUUAAAUCCUUGUGUUCUUCAUGAUACUAAAAAAUUAUUGAGUACUGAGCGACACUGUAGGGAACUAAUGAUAAUUUUGAAAACUGUAAAUAAAAGAAUCAAGAGUUUAUCCUCCCUUGGCUACACUAGUUGUACUACUGGUCACCAAGGAAUAUAAAGGAGGAAAUUUUUAUUAUAAAAAUAUCACAUCUAAUAAAUGAUGAUGAAGGCAUGAGAAAAUAAGAAUACCACUAUUUUGUAAUCUCUAACAAACUAAUGGAUUUAGGCAUUGAACAUUAAUGGCUAGCACUUCAAAAAGAGAUAAAGCAUAUAGUGUGCUUUUUAUUAAGUAGAAAAGACCACAUAUAUGAAUGUCUUAUCAACAAAACCCACAAAAAUCUAAUAUAAUAAAACCUCUAGAUCCAACUACUCUAAAUAAGAGACCAAAGAACAUAUUAAGCUAUAUCGUGGGAUGCAAUCAGCAAAAACUAGACUGUGAGAAGGUACAGGACAAACAAUCAAUUUUUUUCCUUGCAGUUUGACAAAUGAACUGCAAGAAGAAAAAAAUAAAAGGAGAGGAGUACCCAUAUAUUUUUAAAAGUCUCAAGAUAAAUCAAUCUAUGGACAAGCAAUGUAUGUAUUUUAUUUGAAUUAUGAUUUCUUAAAAAAUGUAUGAUGCAUUAGAUAAUUGCAUUGACUGGGGAUUUGAUGACAUGAAGACUGAUGGUGAAUUGUUUUACUGUGGGAUUGGUAUUCUACUCAUACAUAAAAACUAUGUUUUUAUCUUAGAAAAGUACAUAAUAAAAUAUUUUGAAAUGAAA